GGCACGCCGAGCGCCAGGUUCGGCCGAGGGCACUGCGGAUAGUAGUUGAUCUUAAGAAGGUAAACCAUGUUGUCGCCACCCAUAGCCUCCUUCAUCUCAUUCCCUUCCAGCCCUAACCCUAAUGACAGACAUCUAAACAGCUUGUUGACCACCCCAUGCAUGUGCUUUGCGUAUUCCUCGUUAUUCUUUCUGCCAUUAUCCAAAGAAAAUCAUACAUAAAUGGAAACAUCCCAUGAAAUCAAUAUAUUAUAUAGGUUAGUCCACGCAUAUAUGUGAAGGAAAAAUGUGGAUUCGAGACCUGUAAGAAGGUGGGUUUUUAGGCCAAAAUUGAUAGUUAAUUUCAGAAGGAGGCCAGAUCUUAUGGAAGAGAUGAUCAACCCAAGCUUUCUUCCCUUCAACUUCUCUUUGAAGCUUCGUUCCAUAGCCUUCAAUGGAUUGAGAUCCUGGGGACUUGGCGUAAGCUUCCUUUUCAUGUGGUGGGAGCUCGAAGAAAGCCUUUCCGACCUCUUUCAGCUUCCCUACGGUUUCACGGGGAAUGCCAUGAUUCACAACUUGGAAC
RNAcentral lists this long non-coding RNA (559 nucleotides) under Gossypium barbadense (sea-island cotton). RNAcentral describes it as "long non-coding RNA (GBAR_LNC016230)". The record is from RNAcentral. Lineage: Eukaryota; Viridiplantae; Streptophyta; Magnoliopsida; Malvales; Malvaceae.